AGCACUUCCGGGAGCCUGGGGCCCAGGACUGCAGCGGCUUCGGAAGGUGGGCUCUGCCAGCGGGACCAUGCUGCUCCGAGCCGCUUGGAGGCGGGCGGCAGUGGCGGUGACAGCGGCUCCAGGGCCGAAGCCCGCGGCGCCCACUCGGGGGCUGCGCCUGCGCGUUGGAGACCAUGCUCCUCAGUCUGCGGUUCCCGCAGAUACAGCCGCUGUCCCGGAGGCGGGGCCCGUGCUGCGACCUCUCUAUAUGGAUGUGCAAGCUACAACUCCUCUGGACCCCCGGGUGCUUGAUGCCAUGCUCCCUUACCUAAUCAACUACUAUGGGAACCCACACUCCCGGACACAUGCUUAUGGCUGGGAGAGUGAGGCAGCCAUGGAACGUGCUCGUCAGCAAGUAGCAUCUCUGAUUGGAGCUGAUCCUCGUGAGAUCAUUUUUACUAGUGGUGCUACUGAAUCCAACAACAUAGCAAUUAAGGUUCAAGCGAUUCUCCUGCCUCAUCCUCCUGAGUAGCCAGGAUUACAGGGGGUGGCCCGAUUCUACAGGUCACGGAAAAAGCACUUGA
This 563-nucleotide small RNA is filed under the name Pan troglodytes (chimpanzee). Its description in RNAcentral is "processed transcript". The record is from RNAcentral. Lineage: Eukaryota; Metazoa; Chordata; Mammalia; Primates; Hominidae.